This 429-nucleotide ribosomal RNA is filed under the name Gemmatimonadota bacterium. Its description in RNAcentral is "Gemmatimonadetes bacterium partial 16S ribosomal RNA". It matches the Rfam family "Bacterial small subunit ribosomal RNA", at positions 355 to 776 of the family's 1533-position model. Lineage: Bacteria; Pseudomonadati; Gemmatimonadota. The record is from RNAcentral.
UAGGGAAUCUUCGGCAAUGGACGAAAGUCUGACCGAGCAACGCCGCGUGAGUGAAGAAGGUUUUCGGAUCGUAAAACUCUGUUGUUAGAGAAGAACAAGGACGUUAGUAACUGAACGUCCCCUGACGGUAUCUAACCAGAAAGCCACGGCUAACUACGUGCCAGCAGCCGCGGUAAUACGUAGGUGGCAAGCGUUGUCCGGAUUUAUUGGGCGUAAAGCGAGCGCAGGCGGUUUCGUAAGUCUGAUGUGAAAGCCCCCGGCUCAACCGGGGAGGGUCAUUGGAAACUGGGAGACUUGAGUGCAGAAGAGGGGAGUGGAAUUCCAUGUGUAGCGGUGAAAUGCGUAGAUAUAUGGAGGAACACCAGUGGCGAAGGCGGCUCUCUGGUCUGUAACUGACGCUGAGGCGCGAAAGCGUGGGGAGCAAACAGG